CCAAUAGCGUAUAUUAAAGUUGCUGCAGUUAAAAAGCUCGUAGUUGAAUUUCGGGACCAUCAUGUCGGUCGUGCCUCGGUACGUACUGGCAUUGUUGGUUUCUCCCUUCUGACGAACCAUGAUGUCAUUUAUUUGGUGUUGUGGGAAAUCAGGACUGUUACUUUGAAAAAAUUAGAGUGUUUAAAGCAGGCUCACGCUUGAAUACAUUAGCAUGGAAUAAUGAAAUAGGACGUUUGAUUCUAUUUUGUUGGUUUCUAGGAUCGACGUAAUGAUUAAUAGGGAUAGUUGGGGGCAUUAGUAUUCAAUUGUCAGAGGUGAAAUUCUUGGAUUUAUUGAAGACUAACUACUGCGAAAGCAUUUGCCAAGGAUGUUUUCAUUAAUCAAGAACGAAAGUUAGGGGAUCGAAGACGAUCAGAUACCGUCGUAGUCUUAACCAUAAACUAUGCCGACUAGGGAUCGGAUGAUGUUAAUUUUUUAAUGACUCAUUCGGCGCCUUACGG
Molecule: ribosomal RNA, 500 nt
Filed under: uncultured Glomeromycotina
Lineage: Eukaryota; Fungi; Glomeromycota
Description: partial small subunit ribosomal RNA
Rfam family: Eukaryotic small subunit ribosomal RNA
Source: RNAcentral